ACUUGCAAUGUACUUAAUGAUCAAUAACAAAUUUUACAGCUCCUGAGGUUACACCUCAAGUUCUGCAAAACAUUAAAAGCAUAAUAUUCCAAAACCAGCCUUGUCUUAAGUACAGAGCUACAUUUAUAACAUAGAAAAUCUAGCAGUAGGUCAUUAUUUCACUUCACUUGUAAUAUUUGAAAUUAGGGGUAUCUAAAAACAAAUCACAACUUUGUUCUUCAUCACACAAUGCUUUAAGUAUUGAAUAGCAAUUUAAAUUCAAUAGGUUAUCAUUAAGGACAUGCCUGUUUCAAGAAUUUUUGUGAUUAGAACAACCAGACAUUUUCCUCUGGUGUCUGGAUUUUGUCUUAAAGUUAGCACAAGGUACAAAAUCCAAGAAGUAAUGUUGAUAUCUCUUAAGAUAGUGGAUACGCAGGAAAUAUACGUACAGGAAUAUUUUUGAAGAAAGUAAUUCAUUUGGGAAGAACAGGAUUCACAACUGUUGCCCAGCAAAAUUAAAAGUUAUAGAAAUGUCAAUAACAUCCAAUUAAUUUUGAAUGUGGAAGUUAGGAACAGGAGGGGGUCAAUAAUGCUACUGUUUUUUUUAAAAGACCGCCCAAUAGUAACAGGGACAUCAAGGGGCAGAUAGGGAGACAGACUCUGGAAAGGUACUGUCAUGGUGGGAGAUUUUAAUUUCCCCAGUAUUAUUUGGCAUCUCCCUAGAGCAAGGGGUCAGAUGGGAUGGACUUUUUUAGGUUGGUUCAGGAAGGUUUCCUGACACAAUAUGUAGAUACACCUACAAGACGAUAGGCUAUACUUGAUCUGGUAUUGGGAAAUUAACCUAGUCAUGUGUCAGAUCUCUCAGUGGGAGAGCAUUUUUGAGAAAGUGAUCACAGUUCUAUCUCUGUUACCAUAGCUUUGGAGAGAGAUAGGAACAGACAAGUUAGGAAAGUGUUUAAUUGGAGUAAGGGAAAAUAUGAAGCUAUCAAGCAGGAGCUUGAAAGUAUAAAUUGGGAACAGAUGUUCUCAGGGAACUGUACCGCAGAAAUGUGGCAAAUGUUCAGUGGAUAUCUGCGUGGUGUUUUGCAUAGAUUGCAAGUAUUUCCAGCCGUCUUGAUCCAGCAUCAAUAUUUAACAAGAUCAAAGAAUGGAGUGGUUCCAAAAAUAUUGAAAGAUGUUUAUUUGUGCUUUCAAAGCUUCAAAUCUCAAGCUUCAGCAACAAAAGCCUGAGGUCCUCAAAAUCCUACACACGAUGGAAUGAUAUAAGCGUGAUGAUACAUACCAGUUAUCGAAUUCAUUCUAAACGAACUUCAGCUUGGUUUGGCGGGCUCUCAUUGUAGAUCCAAGGCAUUUGCAGCUUCUGUCCACUUUGGGGCUUACAAUGUGCAUAAACAAGCAGAGUGCGUGUUCCACUCAGUUUUAAUUAGAGAGAUGAAGAGGGAAGUCAUUUGUUCGGGGUGGACUGUGAGCAACGUUUGGAAGGUGGUGUGUGCUUUCAUGUGGACCGAGGGCCCAGUCCCAUCAACUUUGAAAAUGCUCCAAAAAUUAAACUGAGGUUUUCCUUCGACUGAUUGCAGAAAUCCACACAGAUCCAAUUGACGCAAUGCAGGAAUGAAUCCUCUCUGGUCUUGGGCAUGCAAGAUAUUUAUCUAUUGGCUCCAAAGAUCCAAGGAUCAGCUGUAUAAUAAAUCAAAAAUUCUCCAGGAAAUAAACUAAUAUCACUAUUAAAUCAUUCUUUGUCCUCUGAAGACAGAUUUGCUUCCAUCCACUGCUGCCUUGACUUGGCAAAUCUGAAAUGCUGUCUCUUGCAAAGCUUUUCUAUAAUUGGCCAAUAUUACGGGGAGAUUAAAGUAACAGAAAUUACUACAUCUAUAGACAGAACAUAAGAGUUAGCAGCUCAGGUCAAAGACCAUUCAUUAGAGUUCUAGCAUCUGCAGUUCUCUGAUUUUCAUUACUGGUCAGAAAUGAGGUUGGAUAGGUAUGACUCGAUGACAACUCAAGUGUUGCAAAAUUCCAUUUCAGGAAAUAACCUUGAUUUGUUCUGUUAAUAACUUGAUUAAAACGCACUAAUAACAGCAUUUAAAAUACUGUUGUCAUGCAAUGGACUUGUAACUCAGAAAUAUCAGCAUUUAAUGUUACUGUAGGGCAUUUUGGCAAUGUACGUAGGGCUGUCAUAGUGCUGAUUCAUCUUGAUGGAAGUCUCCAUUACCUGGUAUAAUAUUUAUAAAUAAUCCUUGGCUGAAAUCAAACACAAAGGACCCAAGGAGUGCACAUUUAAGUCCAUUACUUGACAUAUAAAUCCUCGAUCCUUAAUUUGUUGUGUACAUCUACUGCAUAAAUUUUGAUUUUUUAAAAAAUAUGGAUUUCUUUGUGGCUCUAAAACAAUCUUGCUGUGUCAUUGUACGGUUCCAUCUGUAUCCUUCAUGACUGUGCUCUAUGCUCUAACCUUAAAUAUGGCUGAAUCUUGGAUAACCAUUAUGAAAGAAGUGCAAAUGUAAUAGUAUGUUUUGAAUUUCAUUUAGAGUGGAUUGGCCUAGUAUUAGCCAGUAACUCCAUCAAUCUGGGGGAGAUGUGGAACCCGAGUCACUGACCUCAGGUUGGUCUAAAUAAAUAUUGUUGAUGAGGUUGAGAGCUUCAAGCUCCAAGGCAUGAACGUCACCAAUAGCCUGUCUUGUUCCAAUCAUGUUGAUUUCAUGGUCAAGAAAGCUCUCCAAUGACCAUCUCCUCAGGAGGCUAAAGAAAUUUAGAAUGUCCCUUACUCAUUUUUAAUUGAUACAUUAUCUAUAAUGUAAUAUCCAUUCUAUAUGGAUGCUGAGUAGGCCUGGCAUGGCAACUGCUCAGUAUGUGAAGGCAGAACAGGUACAGAGCAGACGGUAUACCAAGCCUAAUUCAUCAGAGAAACCAUGCUUCCCAUUAUACACCCUGUCUAUACUUGUCGCCACCACAGAAAAGCAACUAGCAUAACGAAGGGCCUCACACACCUUGGACAUACUCUCUUCUCCCUUCUCCCAUCAGGCAGAAGAUAUAAAAAGCCUGAAACCGCGGACCACCAGGCUCAAGGACAGCUUUGAUCCUACUGUUAUCAGGCUCUUGAAUUAAUCUCUUGUCCAAUAAGAAGGACUUUUCCCUGAACAAUCUAUCUCGUUAUGACCUUGCACUUUAUUGUUUAACUGUUUAACACCUCAUUCUGCAAUGUAAUUGUUUACCUUCUUCCCUCUCAAUGCACUGUAUAAUGAUUUGAUCUAUGAACAGUAUGCAAGACAAGCUUUUCACUGUAUCAUGGAAUAAGUGACAAUAAUACUAAUAAACUAAACCCAGUUUUUAAAA
Long non-coding RNA from Hypanus sabinus (Atlantic stingray), 3306 nucleotides. RefSeq lists it as uncharacterized. The record is from RefSeq and is a predicted model, not a curated record. The transcript is spliced from 5 exons. Lineage: Eukaryota; Metazoa; Chordata; Chondrichthyes; Myliobatiformes; Dasyatidae.